AACGCGAAGAACCUUACCUGGAUUUGACAUGUAAUUGACGGUACUAGAAAUAGUAUUUUCUCGUAAGAGACGGUUACACAGGUGCUGCAUGGCUGUCGUCAGCUCGUGCCGUGAGGUGUUGGGUUAAGUCCCGCAACGAGCGCAACCCUUGUCGUUAGUUGCCAGCACGUAAAGGUGGGAACUCUAACGAGACUGCCUGGGUUAACCAGGAGGAAGGUGAGGAUGAUGUCAAGUCCGCAUGGCCUUUAUAUCCAGGGCUACACACGUGCUACAAUGGUCGGUACAGAAGGCAGCUAAGCCGCGAGGUGGAGCAAAUCCUUAAAACCGAUCCCAGUUCGGAUUGGAGUCUGCAACUCGACUCCAUGAAGAUGGAAUUGCUAGUAAUGGCGAGUCAGCUACAUCGCCGUGAAUACGUUCCCGGGCCUUGUACACACCGCUCGUC
RNAcentral lists this ribosomal RNA (442 nucleotides) under uncultured bacterium. RNAcentral's name for it is "bacterial SSU rRNA". It matches the Rfam family "Bacterial small subunit ribosomal RNA", at positions 958 to 1398 of the family's 1533-position model. The record is from RNAcentral.